Long non-coding RNA from Saccostrea echinata, 236 nucleotides. RefSeq lists it as uncharacterized. The transcript has 3 exons. The record is from RefSeq and is a predicted model, not a curated record. Lineage: Eukaryota; Metazoa; Mollusca; Bivalvia; Ostreida; Ostreidae.
GAAAACAUUGUUCGGAAGAUGAAGACAAUGCCGAAAGGCAAACAGUUCAUAUUGAUGGAAAUAACGAGAAGCCCGAUGAUUUAUGUAUCAACAAGAAACAAGAGCAAGAUGACGAAAAGGAUCGACGACCGCCCCUGGUGUAUGGAAUCAGAAAGGUCGCAGCACGUGAAAAGAGAAAUUUUGGUAUCUCAAGAAAUCCUUUAUGGAAAAACAAUGUCAUACCAUAUAAUAUUGAC